Molecule: ribosomal RNA, 427 nt
Filed under: uncultured bacterium
Lineage: Bacteria
Description: partial 16S ribosomal RNA
Rfam family: Bacterial small subunit ribosomal RNA
Source: RNAcentral
UGGGGAAUAUUGGACAAUGGGCGAAAGCCUGAUCCAGCCAUGCCGCGUGUGUGAAGAAGGUCUUCGGAUUGUAAAGCACUUUAAGUUGGGAGGAAGGGCAGUAAGUUAAUACCUUGCUGCUUUGACGUUACCGACAGAAUAAGCACCGGCUAACUCUGUGCCAGCAGCCGCGGUAAUACAGAGGGUGCAAGCGUUAAUCGGAAUUACUGGGCGUAAAGCGCGCGUAGGUGGUUUGUUAAGUUGGAUGUGAAAGCCCCGGGCUCAACCUGGGAACUGCAUCCAAAACUGGCAAGCUAGAGUACGGUAGAGGGUGGUGGAAUUUCCUGUGUAGCGGUGAAAUGCGUAGAUAUAGGAAGGAACACCAGUGGCGAAGGCGACCACCUGGACUAAUACUGACACUGAGGUGCGAAAGCGUGGGGAGCAAACA